ACUGCAGGCCGCGCCAUCGAUCCCAGCUUUUGGUUGGGGUAGGAAAGUCCGGACAGCACAGGGCAGCGCAUCCCGCUAACGGCGGGACAUUCCGCCUCGCCACAAGCGAGAGCCGGGAUCGAGCCAGUGCCACAGAAAAUAGGAGCCUUCGUUCGGGCGGCAACGCCUGAAUUCGUCACAGCCCGCCUGCGCUUCAACGCCAGGGGGGAAGUGAGGGUGAUCGUGAAAACGUGGGGUAAGAGCCCACGGCGCCGCAUCGGAAGGUGCGACGCGGGUAAACCUUGCGCGCUGAAAUGCCAUGUAUAGGAAUCGUUAGUGGCUGCUCGUCACUGUUCGCCACAUCCGCCUUCGGGCACACGCGGCGGGCCGGUUCCAGGGUAGGCAGCUCGAGGCGACCAGCAAUGGGCGUCCCAGAUAAAUGAUGGCGGUCUCGUCUCAGGCGAGAUACAGAAUCCGGCUUACAGGCCUGCAGUAUUU
Molecule: RNase P RNA, 477 nt
Filed under: Chitinophagaceae bacterium
Lineage: Bacteria; Pseudomonadati; Bacteroidota; Chitinophagia; Chitinophagales; Chitinophagaceae
Description: Bacterial RNase P class A
Rfam family: Bacterial RNase P class A
About the family: Ribonuclease P (RNase P) is a ubiquitous endoribonuclease, found in archaea, bacteria and eukarya as well as chloroplasts and mitochondria. Its best characterised activity is the generation of mature 5'-ends of tRNAs by cleaving the 5'-leader elements of precursor-tRNAs.
Source: Rfam by way of RNAcentral